Molecule: long non-coding RNA, 554 nt
Organism: Bombus terrestris (buff-tailed bumblebee)
Lineage: Eukaryota; Metazoa; Arthropoda; Insecta; Hymenoptera; Apidae
Exons: 2
Source: RefSeq, a predicted model, not a curated record
UAUAUUCCUGAAAAAUAAAAAACAAGAUAAAUACGUUUUUUAUACCUUUGAGGUUAAGUAACAGACUUUUCAUCAACUUUUAAAAUAAUAGAAACAGCUACAAUUUAUCUAUUCUUCCAUUCUUCUCUAAAUUAGUUUCUAACUUUUCAAAUUGUAAGUUUCGUUUCUUUAAAUAUUUUAAUUGAAUAAAGAGGUUCAAAUUAUAUAACCUCAAAGAACUAAAUCCCGUACACAUACUUGUAAACAAGGAUUAAUUAGACGCUGAUUUUGUAUAUUCAAAGUUUAUCACAUAACAUUGAUAGUCGUGGCUUUCUCCAAUUGUAAUCGAGUUUAACGAGUUUUAUUUAUAAAAUGAUAAGUCUUUAAAAUAUCAAAGUUAAUUAAAAUAUACAGUGAAAUUUAAAUUGAAAUCUGAAGUAAUAAAUGUAAGUUUAAAUAAGUACCAAUUACAAUUGUCUGCUUUUAUAUAUGCAUAUGUAUAUUUUUGACAAUCAUAUAUGUAUGUACAUAUUGUUACAAAAUGAAUUUGUAAUACAUAUAAUCUUAUAAAUUUC